RNAcentral lists this ribosomal RNA (557 nucleotides) under Bacillus anthracis (anthrax bacterium). Its description in RNAcentral is "bacterial SSU rRNA". It matches the Rfam family "Bacterial small subunit ribosomal RNA", at positions 372 to 917 of the family's 1533-position model. The record is from RNAcentral. Lineage: Bacteria; Bacillati; Bacillota; Bacilli; Caryophanales; Bacillaceae.
CGGGGCUCAGAAGUCUGACGGAGCACGCCGCGUGAGUGAUGAAGGCUUUCGGGUCGUAAAACUCUGUUGUUAGGGAAGAACAAGUGCUAGUUGAAUAAGCUGGCACCUUGACGGUACCUAACCAGAAAGCCACGGCUAACUACGUGCCAGCAGCCGCGGUAAUACGUAGGUGGCAAGCGUUAUCCGGAAUUAUUGGGCGUAAAGCGCGCGCAGGUGGUUUCUUAAGUCUGAUGUGAAAGCCCACGGCUCAACCGUGGAGGGUCAUUGGAAACUGGGAGACUUGAGUGCAGAAGAGGAAAGUGGAAUUCCAUGUGUAGCGGUGAAAUGCGUAGAGAUAUGGAGGAACACCAGUGGCGAAGGCGACUUUCUGGUCUGUAACUGACACUGAGGCGCGAAAGCGUGGGGAGCAAACAGGAUUAGAUACCCUGGUAGUCCACGCCGUAAACGAUGAGUGCUAAGUGUUAGAGGGUUUCCGCCCUUUAGUGCUGAAGUUAACGCAUUAAGCACUCCGCCUGGGGAGUACGGCCGCAAGGCUGAAACUCAAGAAAAUUGACCGG